Molecule: ribosomal RNA, 468 nt
Filed under: uncultured bacterium
Lineage: Bacteria
Description: partial 16S ribosomal RNA
Rfam family: Bacterial small subunit ribosomal RNA
Source: RNAcentral
GACGAACGCUGGCGGCGUGCUUAACACAUGCAAGUCGAACGGAAAGGCCCUGCUUUUGUGGGGUGCUCGAGUGGCGAACGGGUGAGUAACACGUGAGUAACCUGCCCUUGACUUUGGGAUAACUUCAGGAAACUGGGGCUAAUACCGGAUAGGAGCUCCUGCUGCAUGGGGGGGGUUGGAAAGUUUCGGCGGUUGGGGAUGGACUCGCGGCUUAUCAGCUUGUUGGUGGGGUAGUGGCUUACCAAGGCUUUGACGGGUAGCCGGCCUGAGAGGGUGACCGGCCACAUGGGGACUGAGAUACGGCCCAGACGCCUACGGGAGGCAGCAGGGGGGAAUAUUGCACAAUGGGCGGAAGCCUGAUGCAGCAACGCCGCGUGCGGGAUGACGGCCUUCGGGUUGUAAACCGCUUUCGCCUGUGACGAAGCGUGAGUGACGGUAAUGGGUAAAGAAGCACCGGCUAACUACGUG